Molecule: long non-coding RNA, 1263 nt
Filed under: Homo sapiens (human)
Lineage: Eukaryota; Metazoa; Chordata; Mammalia; Primates; Hominidae
Description: long intergenic non-protein coding RNA 1096
Source: RNAcentral
AGUUUACUGCGCGCCCCCGAGGGCCGGGGCUUCCCCUUCCCCGCCCCCUUGGCUUUCGCAGUCAAAUCCCGCUCUCCGCCCGCCGCCCGCGGAAGUCUCACCGCGCAGCAGCACCCCCAGCCCGGGCGGUUCCGGGGACCGAAGGGCGCGGCACGUAGGGGGCCCGUAGGAUCCAAACUGCGGAGGAGAAGCAGGAGGAGGGAGGAGGAAGAAGACAAAGGAGCAGCUUCUAGUUGCAGCUCAAGACCCGCGAGUUCACCCUCCGCGCCAAGCACCCAACUCCCGGCUCUGCCUACAGUCACCCACAGACCUAAUGAUCGACUAAGCGCCGUAAUGGCCCGAGAUGACACCAGGAGACUCCCUUGCUGUGCGCCUCCGGAAGACGCGGAACGUAGCCCCUUUCUCACACUCCUGGGACACAAAAAUACCCGACAACUCAAAGUCGCCAAACCACAUCUUUUCAUGCUUUGAAGACUUCUGCCCAAGGCUGUGGCAGGAGUAUGUCCAACUGUGAUUUGGGAUUCUUUUUAAACAUCGAAUCAAAGGGAAGAGGGGAGGGAUUCGCAACUAAAUGGUAGUUGUUUUCAAGCAAGUCUUUACGUAGCCCCAAACCUACUCUAGUAUUCGGUGAUUCAGCCCCAAAACAUCUCUGCCUGCCUUUAUGUUCGGAUCUCACUCCAUUAUUUGUCAGCACCAAGUACUAAACCCACAAAGCGAUCGCUGUACGGGACACCAAACCCAUACCUGCCCGUCCCCUACCUUCCAGGCAACCAGUGUCAAUCUCCUCACUAUACAUAAUUCCCAACAUCCCUGCCCGAAGUGAGGAGAACGGUAAUUUAAAUAAUACAGCGGGGGAGGAGAGGACACACUGUUUUUGAAAGACUGUAAGCAUUCUGCUGUUCCACUCUGCGUCCUUACACUUGCUGAGCACUGACACCAAAUUUAAAUGGCGUUCCUUCAAAACUGAUGUAAUUGUAAAGAGCUGUAAAGGGCAAUGACCUCAAGUGGAUGUUUUUUCCCAGGUACCCUACAAGGUUUGCACAAAGCAAGAAAGCAUCAUGUAACCGAAAUGCUGAAAAGUAUAGAUGCUGCAAAACCUCAUUCUGAGACUGAGAACUAUGAAUAGUCAGUGUAUUUCCUUCUGCGGUGCAGAAAAAGAACAACCAAAAAGAAAGCAACAAGGGGAGAUGUUAUUUAUUUUAAUGACACCAAAACUACCAAUCCUAGCAAUUUAAUAAAUUAAAAUCAUAGUCCUUUAAAUGU